RNAcentral lists this ribosomal RNA (291 nucleotides) under unidentified marine bacterioplankton. RNAcentral's name for it is "partial 16S ribosomal RNA". It matches the Rfam family "Bacterial small subunit ribosomal RNA", at positions 59 to 339 of the family's 1533-position model. The record is from RNAcentral. RNAcentral also lists the same sequence under 1 other name.
AAGUCGAGCGAACAGAUAAGGAGCUUGCUCCUUUGACGUUAGCGGCGGACGGGUGAGUAACACGUGGGUAACCUACCUAUAAGACUGGGAUAACUUCGGGAAACCGGAGCUAAUACCGGAUAAUAUUUCGAACCGCAUGGUUCGAUAGUGAAAGAUGGUUUUGCUAUCACUUAUAGAUGGACCCGCGCCGUAUUAGCUAGUUGGUAAGGUAACGGCUUACCAAGGCGACGAUACGUAGCCGACCUGAGAGGGUGAUCGGCCACACUGGAACUGAGACACGGUCCAGACUCC